AUUGAACGCUGGCGGCAUGCCUUCAACACUGGGAUAACUCCGGGAAACCGGGGCUAAUACCGGAUAUGAAACCUGCGGGCAUCCGCGGGUUUGGAAAGUUUUCGGUUGAAGAUGACUUCGCGGCCUAUCAGCUUGUUGGUGAGGUAAUGGCUCACCAAGGCGACGACGGGUAGCCGGCCUGAGAGGGCGACCGGCCACACUGGGACUGAGACACGGCCCAGACUCCUACGGGAGGCAGCAGUGGGGAAUUUUGGACAAUGGGGGAAACCCUGAUCCAGCAAUGCCGCGUGAGUGAAGAAGGCCUUCGGGUUGUAAAGCUCUUUUGUCAGGGAAGAAACACCGGCUCUAACACAGUCCGGGAAUGACGGUACCUGAAGAAUAAGCACCGGCUAACUACGUG
Molecule: ribosomal RNA, 400 nt
Filed under: uncultured bacterium
Lineage: Bacteria
Description: bacterial SSU rRNA
Rfam family: Bacterial small subunit ribosomal RNA
Source: RNAcentral